RNAcentral lists this unclassified non-coding RNA (94 nucleotides) under Chryseobacterium soldanellicola. Its description in RNAcentral is "Flavo-1 RNA". The record is from RNAcentral. Lineage: Bacteria; Pseudomonadati; Bacteroidota; Flavobacteriia; Flavobacteriales; Weeksellaceae.
GCCCGACUUGAGUGGAGCACAUUUUGUAGUUUUUGGAAUGGGAAAAGCAUUGGCAAAAACUACAAAAUUGCGGGAACGGAAGGCGGAAACAGCU